Molecule: transfer RNA, 73 nt
Organism: Microcoleus sp.
Lineage: Bacteria; Bacillati; Cyanobacteriota; Cyanophyceae; Oscillatoriales; Microcoleaceae
Rfam family: tRNA
About the family: Transfer RNA (tRNA) molecules are approximately 80 nucleotides in length. Their secondary structure includes four short double-helical elements and three loops (D, anti-codon, and T loops).
Source: Rfam
GGGAGUAUAGCUCAACUGGCAGAGCAGACGGCUCUUAACCGUAUGGUUGCAGGUUCGAUCCCUGCUACUCCCA